GUAGGGAAUAUUGGGCAAUGGAGGCAACUCUGACCCAGCCAUGCCGCGUGCAGGAUGACGGCCCUCUGGGUUGUAAACUGCUUUUAUACGGGAAGAAAAAAUACUACGUGUAGUAUACUGACGGUACCGUAAGAAUAAGGAUCGGCUAACUCCGUGCCAGCAGCCGCGGUAAUACGGAGGAUCCAAGCGUUGUCCGGAUUUAUUGGGUUUAAAGGGUGCGUAGGCGGAUCUUUAAGUCAGUGGUGAAAGCCUGCAGCUUAACUGUAGAAUUGCCAUUGAAACUGAAGAUCUUGAAUGUGGUUAAAGUAGGCGGAAUGUAUCAUGUAGCGGUGAAAUGUUUAGAUAUGAUACAGAACACCGAUAGCGAAGGCAGCUUGCUGAACCAUUAUUGACGCUGAGGCACGAAAGCGUGGGGAGCGAACAGGAUUAGAAACCCCGGUAGUCC
RNAcentral lists this ribosomal RNA (445 nucleotides) under uncultured bacterium. RNAcentral's name for it is "bacterial SSU rRNA". It matches the Rfam family "Bacterial small subunit ribosomal RNA", at positions 354 to 796 of the family's 1533-position model. The record is from RNAcentral.